UGCCCUAGUAACGGCGAGUGAAGCGGCAACAGCUCAAAUUUGAAAUCUGGCCUCCUUUGGGGGUCCGAGUUGUAAUUUGCAGAGGGUGCUUUGGCGUCGGCAGCGGUCUAAGUUCCUUGGAACAGGACAUCACAGAGGGUGAGAAUCCCGUACGUGGUCGCCUGCCUUCGCCGUGUAAAGCCCCUUCGACGAGUCGAGUUGUUUGGGAAUGCAGCUCUAAAUGGGAGGUAAAUUUCUUCUAAAGCUAAAUACCGGCCAGAGACCGAUAGCGCACAAGUAGAGUGAUCGAAAGAUGAAAAGCACUUUGGAAAGAGAGUCAAACAGCACGUGAAAUUGUUGAAAGGGAAGCGCUUGCAGCCAGACUUGCUCGCAGUUGCUCAUCCGGGUCCGCCCGGAGCACUCUUCUGCGAGCAGGCCAGCAUCAGUUUGGGCGACCGGAUAAAGGCCUCUGUCAUGUAUCUUCCUUCGGGAUGACCUUAUAGGGGAGGCGUAAUGCGGCCAGCCCGGACUGAGGUCCGCGCUUCUGCUAGGAUGCUGGCGUAAUGGCUGUAAGCGGCCCGUCUUGAAACACGGACCAAGGAGUCUAACAUCUAUGCGAGUGUUUGGGUGUCAAGCCCGGGCGCGUAAUGAAAGUGAACGGAGGUGGGAACCCUCUCGGGGGUGCACCAUCGACCGAUCCUGAUGUCUUCGGAUGGAUUUGAGUAAGAGCAUAGCUGUUGGGACCCGAAAGAUGGUGAACUAUGCUUGAAUAGGGUGAAGCCAGAGGAAACUCUGGUGGAGGCUCGCAGCGGUUCUGACGUGCAAAUCGAUCGUCAAAUUUGGGCAUAGGGGCGAAAGACUAAUCGAACUAUC
RNAcentral lists this ribosomal RNA (852 nucleotides) under Murilentithecium lonicerae. Its description in RNAcentral is "partial 28S ribosomal RNA". It matches the Rfam family "Eukaryotic large subunit ribosomal RNA", at positions 76 to 944 of the family's 3401-position model. The record is from RNAcentral. Lineage: Eukaryota; Fungi; Ascomycota; Dothideomycetes; Pleosporales; Lentitheciaceae.